Molecule: ribosomal RNA, 303 nt
Filed under: uncultured bacterium
Lineage: Bacteria
Description: partial 16S ribosomal RNA
Rfam family: Bacterial small subunit ribosomal RNA
Source: RNAcentral
AGCAGUCGCCGCGGGAAUACGAAGGGUGCAAGCGUUAAUCGGAAUUACUGGGCGUAAAGCGUGCGUAGGCGGUUUGUUAAGUCUGCUGUGAAAUCCCCGGGCUCAACCUGGGAAUGGCAGUGGAUACUGGCAAGCUAGAGUGUGUCAGAGGAUGGUGGAAUUCCCGGUGUAGCGGUGAAAUGCGUAGAGAUCGGGAGGAACAUCAGUGGCGAAGGCGGCCAUCUGGGACAACACUGACGCUGAGGCACGAAAGCGUGGGGAGCAAACAGGAUUAGAUACCCCGGUAGUCCCUGUCUCUUAUAC